RNAcentral lists this ribosomal RNA (253 nucleotides) under uncultured bacterium. Its description in RNAcentral is "partial 16S ribosomal RNA". It matches the Rfam family "Bacterial small subunit ribosomal RNA", at positions 524 to 776 of the family's 1533-position model. The record is from RNAcentral.
UACGAAGGGUGCAAGCGUUACUCGGAAUUACUGGGCGUAAAGCGUGCGUAGGUGGUUUGUUAAGUCUGUUGUGAAAGCCCCGGGCUCAACCUGGGAAUGGCAAUGGAUACUGGCAAGCUAGAGUGCGGUAGAGGGUAGUGGAAUUCCCGGUGUAGCGGUGAAAUGCGUAGAGAUCGGGAGGAACACCAGUGGCGAAGGCGGCUCACUGGUCCGGUACUGACGCUGAGGUGCGAAAGCGUGGGGAGCAAACAGG